GAUCCGUUAACUCAGCGGCCAGAGUGCCUCCCUGUCCAGGAGGAAGCCAAGGGUUCAACUCCCUUACGGAUCGCCA
RNAcentral lists this transfer RNA (76 nucleotides) under Variovorax paradoxus. RNAcentral's name for it is "tRNA-Asp". It matches the Rfam family "tRNA". Rfam says of the family: Transfer RNA (tRNA) molecules are approximately 80 nucleotides in length. Their secondary structure includes four short double-helical elements and three loops (D, anti-codon, and T loops). Lineage: Bacteria; Pseudomonadati; Pseudomonadota; Betaproteobacteria; Burkholderiales; Comamonadaceae. The record is from RNAcentral. RNAcentral also lists the same sequence under 6 other names.